GUCUCUGAGUUGCUUAGGUCCUUGCUAAAUUGCUGAGGCUGGCUUUGAACUCAUGAUCCUCCUGCCGCAGCCUCCUGAGCUGCUGGUGUGCGCUACCACGCCCGGCUCCUACCUCCGUUUCUAUACCACAUUUUCUCAUUUUACUGACUUGGCAUUAUGACAUUGACCACUAAUGGUGUACUUUCCCCGUCUGCCUUUCAUGAGAUGGAAGCUCCUGAGAACAGGGUCAUGUCUGUCUGUUCCUCAUCAUACGCAGGUUCCUGUCCUGGGUCUACAGGUGGCAUCAUACGGUUAACAAGGCAUUAAGACCAUUUUGUGGAGUAUAUGAAAAGGCUGUUCUGGAAGACAACCAUGGAUUGGGGAAUCCAGAGGAGGAAGCCAUGGCUGCUUCUGGUUCCCAGAAUGAGGUGACAGGUGGGCUGCCGAGAAGGGUGAGGAGGUACCUCCUGAUCAGAGUGAUGAUUUUAGUAAUACCUGCCGGUACCACUUUGUGUUUUGUGACUAUUUGGUGGGUCCUUUUAUCCAGGCCUCCUAC
This 535-nucleotide long non-coding RNA is filed under the name Marmota monax (woodchuck). The record is from RNAcentral. Lineage: Eukaryota; Metazoa; Chordata; Mammalia; Rodentia; Sciuridae.